UCUUUGGUUAUCAAGCUGUAUGA
RNAcentral lists this non-coding RNA (23 nucleotides) under Eisenia fetida (common brandling worm). RNAcentral also lists the same sequence under 1 other name. Lineage: Eukaryota; Metazoa; Annelida; Clitellata; Crassiclitellata; Lumbricidae. The record is from RNAcentral.